This 829-nucleotide long non-coding RNA is filed under the name Vulpes vulpes (red fox). Its description in RNAcentral is "lncRNA (ENSVVUG00000029994.1)". Lineage: Eukaryota; Metazoa; Chordata; Mammalia; Carnivora; Canidae. The record is from RNAcentral.
CUCCGAGCCCCCCUAGAGGACAGAGGAGGAGCCGCAGCCCGAGCCGCAGCCGCCAAGUGGGCGGAGCGCAUGCGCAUCACGCCUGUGCCAACUCCCAGAAUGCCCUGGGAGACUACCGUCGUGCCUAGCGCCUGUGAGGGCCUCAAGAGGCCUGGCUUCCCUGGGGCGAGGCCGUGACCCUUUCCUCCUCGGAGCGUCUCUUGGUUGUCUUAAUGAGGCCUUCAGGCUUGACCUUCCAUUCUGCAAAGUCUUCAAAAUACUGAAUGAACCGGCGAUUUAUUGAUUAUACCUUCAUACUAAUGCAGUGUAACAUUUCACAUGCAAUUGGGAUACUUAUUACUUUGAAGAAUAAAGUGGCAGAAUGAAUCCCACUGGACUGUUAAAAGCAAAGAACACUGCAAAAAGCUCCAUCUUAUCACUUCAAACAAGAGAUUCAAACGUGAGCCUUCAUAGUCCGCAUAUCUGCCAUAAUUUUAUCAAAGUUUGUUUUGUGACUCAAAUUGAACUCCACUCAAGCGGCUCAAAUUGAUUUGUCUCAGCAUGUUCAACUGAACAAAAAUAACCAAAGCAGUGUAUUCUUUUAGAUUUUUGUCUAAAGAAAAGGGAAUAACAAGCAAAUCCCACUACCUCGGUCUUGACACAGGGCCUGAAGUCUCUCCAGUGCACUUCCCUUUCAGGGAAGUGGUUCAGGUAGUGGUUCAAGUUUUCAGACCAUUUCAAACUUAUGGCUCAAUAUCAUCUUAAUACAUGAUCCUGUUGUCACUCCGGCAGCUGAAGUAACGACACACAGAACUGACAAGAACUGUUAAGUAUUUUAAAUAAAAGUAGC